AAUAACUAGCCGCAUAGGUUGUGUGCCCAUGAAGCCAGUCCUAGUUAGUGCGUAUUCGUGUUUACUUAUUUCAGAGUUCAAAGUUCUGAAGAUAUUUAGAGUCUGAAGGAAGACCCAGUGGCGUAAGAGAUUUUAACAUAAUGAGCCAGAUCUGGGCACCAGCGUGGAGAUGCAUUUUUACAGGGUGAAUCAUUAAUUGGGCAUUCUAAGAGUCACUCAGCCUUUUCAAUGAUUCAUCAGCCAUGCUGAUGCUGUUAUAUAGUUCAUAUUAUUGUUGUAAUUAGCUGAUGCUUGUCAAAUGUAAACCUGGCUCUAACCUGGGUGUUUUCAAAAACAGCACCAGUUACUGUGUAUCCAGGUAGAGGGGGUCAGCAUACUAUAACUCUCUGUUUUCCUGACUUGUAAUAAUUAACCCCUUCUCUCAGGGGACGCACUUUCAUUGUCUUUCCUGUAAACAGUUGGUAAUUGUGAGUGGAGCUGUGGAGUGAGAAAGUGGGUACUGCUUUUCCUGUUUCAAGGGCCUGCAUGUUCAGAAGCAGCAGUGUGGCAUGGGAGAUGUUAUAGCAGCAGAGUCAGGGGCCAGUUCUUUCACUGCCUGAUAACUUGGGCCUUCCAAGGGAGAGGGAGGGAGGUGGUCACUGAGGGUGAGGCAAAGAAAGUGCUUGGUAAGGGAUUUCUGGGAUCCUUGAGCCCAGAGUGGAUUAGAUGGGAUUAGAGACCCACUCUGAGCAGUUUCUACCUGCAUCUUAAUCCACUCCAGAGCUGAGGCUUCCCGAUCCCCCUAACCAGGUGCAUGCUCACUGGGCUUCCAGCUUCCAAGCCUUCUACCUGUGGAAUGCUUGGUCCAGUGUCUGGGGCACCCACUCUUACUCCAAACUCCUCCAGAUCUGCAGAGUGGCCCAGCAUAUUCUCUUCUGGAAAGGAGGUCUUCGCGUAACAGAAGUGAGUCUGUAACCCUAGGCCGAUUGGAGAAAGGGGUGUGGUGUGCAUGUGACGUGUUUUCUUGCCUCCAGGGCAGGUCAAGGAAUCCUUCCUUGACCCUUAAAAACAGCAGUGGUUUCAACAAGUUUUCUCCUUUCUGCUUUUAACUUUUUCUUGGUUCAUAGUCUGCAUGCUACUGUCCCAUUGAGCCAGGAGGAGAGCAGGAGCGGGGGAAAGCUGGGGUCUGAUGGGGGCUGGGAACCUUGUGGCCUGUGCCUGAGCUCUGUGGGACCAUGUUGGGGCAGGGAUGGGAGUGCCCUGGGCCUUGAAGCAGGUUGGCUGUGGCUCAACACUGACCAAAUGCACCCAACCUUGGCUAAGGCUUCUCCUUAUGGGGGAUCAUCAAUACCACAUCUUCCAGGCCCAUUUUCCUUACUUAACCAGCUGUUAGGCCAUGCAGAUUAGAGAAAUAUAGUUAACUCUACUUAACACAUCAUAAAUUACCCCCGUGUUUGUGUGCCCUUGUUCCCAAAGCAAAGGUUCUGAAACAACCUUAGUUGAGAUAGACAUUUCCAGUGAGGGUAGGUAUAUCAGUAGAUUGAGAGGAAGCAUGCCAACGCAGGUACAAUUUGCUUAUUUGUUUUUAGUUGCUGUAGAUAAACCCUAAUUCAUAACUAUUUGCUGGAGGUGAAUUGGGCCCCCAUCCGCUCCACUUCUAAGGCAAGCUUAAACUUCUCCCUGAUAACCUGUCAGUGGUUUUGCCUUUAAAGACCCAGCCUUAUCAGCCCAUUUUCUUAUUGCCACAAAAAAACCUGUGCAGCCGCUGACCUCCUCUGUGACCUUGGGCAAGUCCUUUCCUUACACUGGGCAUUCACUGCCCCAUCUAUAAGCAGAUGGUAGUAGACUGGCCCAUCUCUAUGCCGGAGAACUUUGUCUUCAAACCCCACAGCCUUCUCUUUGAGCUGCGGGCAGGGCUACUGGUCGAUGCAGGAGGAGGAGGCCUUGGAGAGGUCCCUCUGGCGAGGAAGCCCAUCCGAGCGGCUCUCAUAGGUCACACACUUGAAACCAAGUGUGCGUCUCCACUUGCACGGUAAAAUCUCGGUGCUGACCCAAGGCUCUGAUGGUAGGUUUUCUAGGAAAGGCUGGUGGGUUUCCUCACUGGGAGCAAGGCAUCCUCUGCAGUCACAUAUUGGCAAUGACAGCUCAUUCUCGCUAGGGUCUGUCCUGCACACAUAACAAAAAUAACCAUAAAAGUCCCUAUUAUUUACUGAGGGCUUAUCAUGGGUGAGGUGCUGCACUGAGGGGCAGUCCCUCCAGGGGUAUUAUUUCCAUUUCACGGGGAGAAGUGUUGUUGAAGUUCAGAGAGGUUAGGUAACCUGCCUAAGGCCUCACAGCACCGCGAGUGGCAGAGCUGGGAUUCUACCCCAGGCACUCAGCUCUGAAGCCCGAGCUCCUGACCACUUUGCCUGUAUCCUUCCAUAAAUGUAAUCUUUAAGCUGCGGCUGUUCCCUGUUAAGCCCCUGUUUAAAGAUCUAUGAAAAUAGAUGCCUCCUCCGAGUCGCAGCCUUCUCUGAUUCUUCUUAUCAUCAUGAGAGCAGAUACCGAGAGGCACAGAUGGCCAAAAGGUUUUAAGUUCCCUCUGUUCUCUUGUAAGAUGCAGUGCCAAGUAAUAUCCUGGGGUUACUCACACUGCUAUGGCCUCUAGUUGAAGAUAGGAGUGCUAUGGUUUUUUUCUUGGCAAGAAAUUGUGGACCGGGGUGAUAUCCAAUCACAGUCCUCUGGCCUCAUUUGGGACACAGAGGGCAAGUAUUUUUUUAACCCUAUUAUUUUACAAAAAUAUUAAAAGGCAAGCAACUGGACAUGGUGUCUCAUGCUCUAAUCCCAUCGUUUAUGGGAGGCCGAGGUGGGAGGAUCCCUUGAGGCCAGGAAUUCGAGAUCAGCCUGGACAACAUGGUGAGACCCCGUCUCUACAAAAAAAAAAAAAAAAAAAAAAAAAAUAGUCGAGUGUGGUAGUGCACACCUGUAGUCCCAGCUACUUGAGAGACUGAGGCAGGAGGAUUGCUUGAACCCAGGAGCUUAAAGCUGCAGUGAGUUAUGAUCGUGCCACUGCACUCCAGCCCGGGUGACAGAGCAAGAUUCCAUUAGACUGGGUAACAGAGUGAGACCCUGUCUCAAAAAUAACAGCAAGUAAGCAAUCAUGGUUUUUUGACUUUUCAAGGAAUUUGCAAACAACAUGUAUUCUCUUCACCCAUCUAGCUUUUGGGAAAGGACACCCAAAUUCCAACAGUCACCUACCUAGAAAAAUAGAUAACCACAGCCAUCGUCCAUUCCAUUGCGACUUGGUGAUGUCAGAAGGUCUCAGGCUCAGGAGGGGCAUCCCUCAGGGCCUCUCGGCCAAUAUCCCGAUUCCUUAAACUGGGACAGUGUUUUCUGUCUGCAGAUUGUGCUCCCUCCUUGGAAUGGGCUUAUCUGGCCUGACCCUGCAUAUGCCCAGCAGGGACUGCAUCCCUCAGUUCAUAGAUACAGAGGUUGAAGGUCAGGGAGGUGAAGACAGAAGGGGCAGCCAGUCAGAGCCAGCAGCUGCAGCAGGACCCAGAUUUCUUGGUUCUGAGUCCAGGAUUCUUUCCACUCCACCGGCUCUCAUGUAUGGACAGCUCAGGGGUCAGAGAAAGCACCUUUAUUUCUGAAUUUCCUUCUUCUCUCCUAUAGCCUUAUGACCAGUGUUCAGAAGAUUUAUCUCUUUCUAGCUUGGGACUUGCACCCAGCAAGUUUCCAUGCAAGGCAGCUGCCUUUAAGAAGAACAGAAGAGUCCCAGUUGGGCUUAUGGGGAAUGAAAUCAGUCCCAAGCCCCGAUCUCUCUGAAAAGUUGUUAUUAAAUUCUGUGCCUGGCCCUGACCUGGAUUUAAAGAUUUGCAAGAAGACAAAUUCCAAACAGAUGCCCAUUAGGGCCCUGACAGCCGCAGCUUAAAGAUAACAUUUACAUUCUGCCGGGGUUUGUAUCUCUCUGUUCCCCACUCGGCCCCUCUCUUUCCUCCGGUGGGAUCAAUACCUCGGUUGAGGUUACGUGGAGGUGGCCACAUUCUUUUAAGCUGUUUGCUCAGUGCUUGGUUUGCUCUGCUAACAUGCUGGGCACUUCUUCCAACAGCCCUGUUUGCCCAGCAUUAGGGCUGUUUGUUGAAACACCUAGCCCAAUCCGAGGGGGCUCAGCUUUCUAAACAGUUGGUCCCCGAAUCUGUCAAUCAAUAACACCAAUUGGGUUCCUGAUACGAACAGCAAGUGUGGCCAAGUCCAAUAUUUGCCCAAACACUGCCUUCUCCUCCUGCACCUGACUGUCCCCCAGCUUGACUAAAAGGACGAUCACCAGGCGCACGGGCUGCUGGGAAGAUACAAUGUUGGCAAACAGGGAGCUGGUUCCAGGAAAGAAGGGCACAUGAGCAAACAUGAUGGCCCCUUUAUGAGAGGUAAUUUACUGAAAUGCACAGCGAUUACCUGCUCAUCCAGCCCUGAUGUAAUUAAAAAUGGCAGGCUAGGGCCUCUGUUUCCCCCGGCGCUGGCAGAGAAACCCGGGUUUCGACUUGUGAAGCUUGAGGCUGGAUGUGGGAAUUGGCUUGGAGUCAUAGGCGAUGAGAGGGACAUUAGGAUAUUAUCAAGCCCGUGAACUCAACUCCCAAGAAGGACACAGCAGAGCGAGAAAAAAGGUACCUUCAAAAGAGGCUGAUGUUCAUUGGGUACAGGCUUUUCUUUUGGGAUGAGGAAAAAAAUGUUUUAGAACUUGUGAGAGGUGUUGGUUGUGCAACAUCGUGAAUGGACUAAAUGCCAAAGAAUUGUUCACUUUAAAAUGGUUAAUUUUAUGUUGUGUGAAUUUCAUCGAAAAAAAAUAAAAAGGGUGAAUCCCAAUGAACCCGGGUCAUUUACAUUUCAGAAGCUCUAAUGCGUAACUCAGGGUUUGGCUCAGAGUAAAUGCUUAAUAAAUGUUUAUUGAAAGAACAACCUAACAUUUGCACAGUCAACAAAGCUCUUUGUUAUACAUUAGCUCAUUUCAUUUUUAAAGAACCCUCUGAGGUGGGCAGGGGUAAGCAUUCUCAUGGUGUAAAGGGGAAACUAAGGCUUUGAGAGGAGUGUGGCUUGCACAAUGUCACGUAGCUAGUGGCAGCAGUGCCAGAAUUCAAACCCAAAAGUCUCUGGCUCCAAAGUCUGUGCUUGUAAAGCAAUACUAUUUGGUCUACCUCAUGGCUUUCAGGAUGGGAAAGAAAGCAAUAGGGUUUUAAAAUAUGUUCUCCCCCCUUCUUUUUUUUAGGGUGUUUAUUACUAAAAGUGUUUUAAAACUGGACCACUGAGUAAAGUCACUCCAUCUCCUACCUUUCCUAGCACAGUGCUUGAUAAAUAUUUGCUGGCUUAUUCAGCUGCAGCUGCAGAGACCUACCUGUGUUUGCUGUGGUGACUGUCCGGGGCAAAGCUCAGGCAGCUGAAAGUAUCAGUGAAGCCAGAAGAUUCUGGCUGUUCAGGGUCUAUGAGGAGUCAAGGUCUGGGGUUUGUGUCCUCUGCAUAGCAAUGGCACUGCAACGGGGGAGCCUGGUGCUGGGCUGGGCCAUCUCGCUACUGUCACCUGCCUGUUGAGGGGUGACGGUGGUUGUUGAGAGGCUGGAUCAGACCCCAGAGGUGACAUGGAUGUGACAUAUUUGUUGGGCUUACACAGCCUUGCGUUUUAUUUUCAUCUCUGUUCCUUCCUCCCAUGAGAUCUUGGGUGGUGCUUUGUCAACCCUGAGUAAUCGUUUCUUCAUCUGCAAGAUGGAAUAAGAAGGCCUACCUCAUUGGGCUCUUGUGGGUGAGGAGAACUGAAGAGUCUGAGAGCGCGGCACGAGCCAGAGGCUACGGAAAACACUGCCCUCCCACACUCCACCUUGGAGAGACCCAGAAAAGAACAAGCUUCAUUUGAAAAAAAGGAAAACAGCUCAGGCAAUGGGGGUGGCUUAAAGGCACUCUACAGUGUGCAGAUGCCUUCCACUUCUUCCAUCUGCCGUGUCUCUCCAAGAACCCCUAUGGCCCCAGGCUCAGAACCGAGCUGAGUGCAGAAAUGAAAAUCUAUGGCUCUGUGUUCCAAAACGAUGAAGAAUUUCAAGAUGGUGGCAGUGGUAAAAUCCUCCUCCAGGAAAAAUCUGUCCGUGGCCCAAUGUGUAAACACUUGCUGAGGAACUUGGAGUAACUUGCAGUGUCUUGCAGUAUUAUGAAACCAGCAACUUGUUCACAAUUCUCCUGAAUUUCUUGGGAAAUUUGAAGUGGAGUACCUGUACCAACAUGAAAUGACAUGAAUUUAAGUGAAGCUCAACAACGAAAAGCAAAAAGAACCAAAGAGGAAGCAACUGAAACAACAUCUGGAUGUAUUUAAAAAUAUACAGUGCCUCCAAAAUCAGGUGUCAUUAAUGAAAAUUCUGAAGAAAUGCCACCGGACAUAGCCAAUGCACCUAUACUAUUGUUAUUCAUUUCCUGCUUUUCACAGAAAACAAUUUUGUUGCAUGGAAGAUUGUGAACUUCAAAGGGCAGAGGGGAAACUCUCCCUUGGCCGCUACCCCUCCAAGGCCCCACUUUUUCGUCAACAAUCCUUGGACGCAGCCGAGGUAUGAACAUAAUAUGGUCCUGAAUGAGGCUGAGUCUUUGGGCGCAGAAGACCCGGGUUAAUAAAAAUAGGAAGAUCAGGAAACUGAAUCUCAGAACAAUGGCAUACUUGGCAAAUAAUGACACCUUCAGCUCUGCUUGAGAUCAGACGCAGCAAGUCCAGUGGAGGCCCAGGUCCCAGCUCCUCUAGGAAACCUGUCCUGACGAUUCCAGGCCACAUGGAGUCCUUCCUUCUCCAAAGUAUUACUACGCUUAUUUUGAGGAAUAGAAAAAUAAUGCUAAGAAAGAAGCAAGGAAACAUUCGUACAAUUCUCAUGGCACGCUGAGUACUUGCCAGCACUCACGGGCGCCUAGGGACUACCUUGAGCAGGACUCAGGAUGAUGCUCAUUUUACAGGUGAGGAAACUGAGGUUCAGAGGGCUCAGGUCCCAACCCAUGUCUGUAUGUCGCCCACGUUCAAUGCGCUUUUCUCCCUUAUUCGGCCCCCCAUUCUCCUCCUCUAGAAUCGUUUCCUAAGUGCUUUCUUGUCUCUGCAAUUUGGCUGUAAGCUCAUCAAUCAUAGAGAUCAUGUCCCUGCUUGCACCCCAUGCAGCUGACCCGGGCUUGACCUCAGCAAAGGGUCAGCACAGACUUGAGGAGGCAGAGAUGGGGCAGAGGCAGCAGGCCAGCUCCAACUCCCCUCAGCCGCUUCCUGGCACAGUGAGGGCUGUUAGUCUAUUUCUCAGAACCUCAGUUUCUUCAUCUAUAAAACGGGGUGGUACUAACCAUGGAGGCUCAGGCUCGCUGAGUGAAGGUGCAGUAAGGUAAGGAGCUUUGAGUGUCAAGAGCCCAGUGUGAAGCCUGGCACAUAGUGGGUAUGUAAUAUGAACUGGGAUUACUCUUGUCAGCCUGCUCAUUUUGUGGGGCAUCUCUGGGGUGCCCUCUCACCCCCAGCAACUGUGACCCAGCCUUCCUUUCCUGGAGGAAGCCUGCCUCUCCCUGGGCCCUGUGUGUGUAGGGGCUGGAUCUGGCUGAUAGGCACACAGGGGACUGUGUUUCUGCGUCACUCACUUUGGGUGGUGGCUGUGAACACUGCAGUCUGUGUGUCCCUGCCGUGCCUCCAGACUUUGUUAACCCUGAGAGCUGAGGGUUUGUCGGUGCUUCCAGACUCCCAGGAGGAGGAGAGGACCUCAGCUGAGACACUGGUUUCCCCUGGCUAGCCUGCCUCGAGCUAGGGAGAAACCCUUCAAGAUGAGCUCCCAGCUUCAAAGCCCAGCGGGGGUGGGUGGCUGACUACAGGGGCAGAGCACAGCCCAGGAGAUGGCCGCUGCAGACAUGCUGCCAGGCACACCUCAAUCACCACCAAAGCAGCAGCUGCCAGGCCCUCUUUUGAUGGAAGAGAGACGUGGAGGUGGGGAGAAGAGAGCCUCCCAAGUCAGGGAGCCAGGGGUGGGACGGGGUGGGCCAUCUGCAUGAUCUGAGCUUCCAGUUUAGUUCUCCCAGUCUUUAGUAUUAAAUGGCAAAGGCUCCCUUGGAUGCUCAAAUCAAGCAGAUAUCUUGAAGGGGAGUUUGGACCUGUCUGGGGCAGGAGUGCUGGUAACCAUGGGUGGUGUUUUCUCUGUACUGAGUUAUCACCUAGCUGUACAUACAGCCCUGCCUACAUCCCGCCCUUGCUCCCUCAGCCUCAACCACUCUGCACUUUCUUCUGUCCCUUGAAUAAACCAAACACGUUCUUUCCCCAGGCCUUUGCUUUGACUGUUUCCUCCUCU
Pongo pygmaeus (Bornean orangutan) is the source of this 8282-nucleotide long non-coding RNA. RefSeq lists it as uncharacterized. The transcript has 5 exons. Lineage: Eukaryota; Metazoa; Chordata; Mammalia; Primates; Hominidae. The record is from RefSeq and is a predicted model, not a curated record.